This 387-nucleotide ribosomal RNA is filed under the name uncultured bacterium. RNAcentral describes it as "bacterial SSU rRNA". It matches the Rfam family "Bacterial small subunit ribosomal RNA", at positions 28 to 417 of the family's 1533-position model. The record is from RNAcentral.
GACGAACGCUGGCGGCGUGCUUAACACAUGCAAGUCGAGCGGUAAGGCCCUUUCGGGGAUACACGAGCGGCGAACGGGUGAGUAACACGUGGGUGACCUGCCCUCAGCUCUGGGAUAAGCCUGGGAAACCGGGUCUAAUACUGGAUAUGACUCCAUGACGCAUGUUGUGGGGUGGAAAGCCUUGUGCGGCUGAGGAUGGGCCCGCGGCCUAUCAGCUUGUUGGGGGGUGAUGGCCUACCAAGGCGACGACGGGUAGCCGGCCUGAGAGGGCGACCGGCCACACUGGGACUGAGACACGGCCCAGACUCCUACGGGAGGCAGCAGUGGGGAAUCUUGCGCAAUGGGCGAAAGCCUGACGCAGCGACGCCGCGUGAGGGAUGACGGCCU